Molecule: ribosomal RNA, 207 nt
Filed under: Triticum aestivum (bread wheat)
Lineage: Eukaryota; Viridiplantae; Streptophyta; Magnoliopsida; Poales; Poaceae
Description: partial small subunit ribosomal RNA
Source: RNAcentral
AUGGAGGGUCCAACUCCAUUAUCUUCUUUGACUCAUGAAGCUACUAUGGUCACUACUCACGUUUUCAGGAUAGCAAGGAGCUAUGAUGUCAUCUGUGGCAACCACUGGAAUAUGACAGAAUGAUCUAACGAGGGUCAUAACUUAUCCAACUUGCAGCCAAUUAGGCAUUUAGGCUACAUGAUCUUUCCUUGCGGCAUGUCCGUGUAA